This 29-nucleotide non-coding RNA is filed under the name Mus musculus (house mouse). The record is from RNAcentral. Lineage: Eukaryota; Metazoa; Chordata; Mammalia; Rodentia; Muridae.
UCAACCUCAUGUGAUGAUUGCCCUGUCUC